CAACGCCGCGUGAGCGAUGAAGGCCUUCGGGUCGUAAAGCUCUGUUGUUAGGGAAGAACAAGUACCGGAGUAACUGCCGGUACCUUGACGGCACCUAACCAGAAAGCCACGGCUAACUACGUGCCAGCAGCCGCGGUAAUACGUAGGUGGCAAGCGUUGUCCGGAAUUAUUGGGCGUAAAGCGCGCGCAGGCGGUCCUUUAAGUCUGAUGUGAAAGCCCACGGCUCAACCGUGGAGGGUCAUUGGAAACUGGGGGACUUGAGUACAGAAGAGGAAAGUGGAAUUCCACGUGUAGCGGUGAAAUGCGUAGAGAUGUGGAGGAACACCAGUGGCGAAGGCGACUUUCUGGUCUGUAACUGACGCUGAGGCGCGAAAGCGUGGGGAGCAAACAGGAUUAGAUACCCUGGUAGUCCACGCCGUAAACGAUGAGUGCUAAGUGUUAGAGGGUUUCCGCCCUUUAGUGCUGCAGCAAACGCAUUAAGCACUCCGCCUGGGGAGUACGGUCGCAAGACUG
Molecule: ribosomal RNA, 513 nt
Filed under: uncultured Bacillota bacterium
Lineage: Bacteria; Bacillati; Bacillota
Description: bacterial SSU rRNA
Rfam family: Bacterial small subunit ribosomal RNA
Source: RNAcentral